RNAcentral lists this unclassified non-coding RNA (294 nucleotides) under plant metagenome. RNAcentral describes it as "partial contains small subunit ribosomal RNA, internal transcribed spacer 1, and 5.8S ribosomal RNA". The record is from RNAcentral.
UUUCCGUAGGUGAACCUGCGGAAGGAUCAUUAUUGAAAUAAACCUGAUGGGUUGCUGCUGACUCUCUCGGGAGCAUGUGCACACUUGUCAUCUUUAUAUCUCCACCUGUGCACCUUUUGUAGAUCCGGAUAUCUUUCUGAAUGCCUGCAUUCAGGUUUGAGGAUUGACUUGUCUUUCCUUACAUUUCCAGGCCUAUGUUUCUUCAUAUACACCAUGUAUGUUAUAGAAUGUAAUGAAAAGGGCCUUUGUGCCUACAAACUUAUACAACUUUCAGCAACGGAUCUCUUGGCUCUC